GGCCGAGGCAGCCACCUGGGUUGGGUGGGGAGAGAUGGGCCCCAUAUCUUCCCAUAGCACAAGCAACGGGGCUGUGGCAAAACCUGAAGGGAAGAUGAGAAAUACCUGCAAUUUCACUGCGCGGGGCCUUGCACGGUCUCUGGGCCAUGGUGAGGAGCAGGUGUAGCUUAGUUUAAUAGAACUCUUGCUGUGUACUGUGGUGGAAACAUUCUGCAUCUGGAAAACAUGACCUCUAGAAACUCGGAGUCUAGAAUUAUGGGGACAGGAAGCGUGAAUUUCCUGAAUGGUUCACUGGGAGUAAUGGUCAUAAAAUCCUCACGUAAGGGGUGCUCUCCCUAUGCCUGGAGGAAAGGAACACCCUUAUGUAAGCCCCAAGAAGAAUCUGAACCAAGAGUCCUUGCUGGAUUGCCCCAGUUCACUACAAUGACUUCAGACUCCUCAACUUAUUCCUCCACAACUGCCCACUCUUCAUCAAAUGUUGUAUAAAAUACUCAGGUCUGUUUCUUUGAGUUUUCAUUCCCUUGUGAAGGCUCCUAUGGCACAUAAAACUUACAUUAAAUAAAUCUGUAGGAUUUUCUCCUGUUGAUCUCUCUUUGCCAGUUUAAUUUUCAGACUCAGCUAGGGACUCUGAGAGGGUCAGGGAAAGCAUUCCCUCACCUACACUCUGUUGUAGGUGCACAAGGGUGAGAAUUCCAGGCUAUAGCUGGAGCUUGCAAAUUACCAUGAUGGGCAGCUAUGGGUUUUAGCUGUAAAUCUUAGGCAGAGGAUGCAGAGUGCCAGAAUAGGAGCACA
Zalophus californianus (California sea lion) is the source of this 792-nucleotide long non-coding RNA. RefSeq lists it as uncharacterized. The record is from RefSeq and is a predicted model, not a curated record. Lineage: Eukaryota; Metazoa; Chordata; Mammalia; Carnivora; Otariidae. The transcript is spliced from 3 exons.